RNAcentral lists this ribosomal RNA (320 nucleotides) under uncultured Cercomonas. RNAcentral describes it as "SSU rRNA". The stretch from base 103 to 320 matches the Rfam family "Eukaryotic small subunit ribosomal RNA", at positions 736 to 955 of the family's 1831-position model. The record is from RNAcentral. Lineage: Eukaryota; Cercozoa; Cercomonadida; Cercomonadidae. RNAcentral also lists the same sequence under 1 other name.
GAUUUCUGGUAUGGCGCAUUUGGCCCGCUUCGGUUACGGAGUUGAGUGCCGUUUUGCGCCUGCCAUCCUUCUGGAAUACGACUCUCCCUUCAUUGGGUUGGGCCGGAAUCCAGAUCAUUUACUUUGAAAAAAUUAGAGUGUUUAAAGCAGGCUUACGCUAUGAAUACAUUAGCAUGGAAUAAUAAUUUAGGACUUUGGUCUUAUUUUGUUGGUUUCUAGGACUAAAGUAAUGAUUGAUAGGGAUAGUUGGGGGUGCUAGUAUUCAGCGGCCAGAGGUGAAAUUCUUGGAUUCGCUGAAGACUAACUUAUGCGAAAGCAUU